GGGCUGCCCGAAUCUGUGAGUGCCACACGAGUUGUAGUUGCGUGUUCUUUUCCACAUCUCUGCGUGCACUGACCACUUGGGACCGGAGUGUUUGCCACUGGGAAGCACGGGGAGCUUUCACGAAAGCACGCCGAGAGGAUAUCCACAUAACCGUGGGCAGCAGCGGGGUCUGAAGUCCCGCUUUGGAGUGAGGACUCUUGCGUCAGGGUGCGGCCUGUGUGUGUGCCGUGCAGGUGUGUUUGUGGACACAUCGAUGCAAGUGUGGAUUUUGGUCGUGGUGAACAGUGUUGGCUUGGCUGAGUCUGCAUGAGUCCAGCACUUCUCUGUGGGAACCCUUCGUCCUUUUGUGUGCCGUGCUGGAGCACACGUCUUAUGGGAAGCAGCUGGGGGAACUGGAGUGCUUUGGUCUGGAGAAGAGAAGGCUCGGGAGAGACCUUGUGACUCUCCAGUUGCCUGGAAAGAGGUUGUGGAGGGGUGAGGGUUGGCCUCUUCUCCUGUGUAACUAAUGAUAAGACUGGAGAGAGUGAUCUUAAGUUACACCAGUGGAGAUUCAGGUUGGGUAUUAGGAAAAAUUUUUUCCCAUGAAGAGUGAUGAUGUGAUGCACAGGCUGCCCAGGGAUGUGGUGCAGUCUCUGUUCUUGGAGGUGUUCAAGGAAAGUGGAGAUAUGAGACCAAGAGAUGUGGUCAGGAGGCAUGACAGGAGUGGGUUGACGGUUGGACUGGGUGGUGUUAGUGGUGUUUUCUGACCUUAUGUUUCUGUGUUGAAGGAGGGCACUCUUUAUGGGUAAAAUUGGAAAACUCUGGCACGUGGAGUGUGCGUCAGCUGCUCUUGGGUAACUGUCCCUUUACAUAAUUGUGUUGUUAGGGAAACAAGCUACAAGUUGAUGGUUUGUUUUAUGGACAACAGUGGAGUUGUCCUGUGCUGAGAGUUGCCUUCUCCUUCCAACUGAUCUUCUAUAACUUCAUAUAGCACUUGUUGCUGUGCCAAAAUGUUUGGGUUGGCUUCAGGCUGGCACAGGUGCUACUGAACAUCUGCAUUUAGCUUACAAAAGGAUGAUGUGAUAGAUUGUCAUAAGAUUCAUUUUCAGUUUUGAUUUCCAGCAGACUGCUCCCUUUUCCCCCAUAAUCUGACAAUGUGUCAGAGGAGAAAUUUAGAGGGAAUGCUUUGGGAAAAAUAUCUGAGAAGUAAUUUCAUAGAAUAUUUUAGAGGUACAGAGAUACAGUGCUGCUGUGCAGACCUAGAAAAGAGGAAGACAAGAAGUCGGUCAUUUUGUUGAGACUGCAUCAGAUAAGGUAUUUUUUUUUCUAAAUAGAGUGUACAUAAGGGAACUUCUUCUACCACUAGAACUGCACAAGCUUUUAGGUUCUGUUCUGUUUGUUUUUUUUUCCCUUUUAAACACCAAAAGCUGUCAACAUUAGUGACCAAACAACUUUCCCAUGAGGAAGUUUGGGAGACAAGCUUUCCUUCCCAUCCCCCAGUUUAAAAGUAAAUGAAAAAUCAUGCAAAGUUCAGUUGGGCACUGCUGGACCAGCAGUUGGGUGAUGCAAGGAAUAUUAUCUGUUGUUUGCCACAGCACGAGUUUCUUUAAUUUCAUGUGUACUAUGAUUGAUGUCCUGGACUUUAAAAUAAAUAAUAAGAAGAAAAUCUGUACUUCUGUUUUUUUGUUUUUGUUUUAAGGGCAGAGGGGGUCAUCUGUUACAGUAUUUCAUUUUAUUUUUUCUAAAGAUAACUUUGGAGUACCAAAAGCAUCCGUAUUUCAAAAGGUUUGAAGUAAGAAAUACAUCGCUUUUGACACUUUUGGAUACAGAAAUCAGUAGAUUUCUGCUAAAAAUCAUCUUUUUCAUUGCACUUUUUUUUUUUGGGUGUGAUACAUGUCUAAACCACUUAAACUUAAUUUUUGUUUUGGUUUGUUUUUUUUUUUCCUCCUUCUCUCAAGAGUGUUAAUAUUUGAUGUAUUUGCUUCCUUCUUUGGUGGUUGCUAGUUCCCUUUUAGACAAAGCAAAUCUCAUCAGGUAGACUGCUGUAAAAAAUGAUUUUUAUAUCUUAGAGCUCUUCAAUUCUGAUUUAAUUCAUUUCUUAAGUAAACAUGUUUACUAAUGUGGACUACUGUAGUGUGAAUAGGGUGUAGCUGGUACCAUCCACACAGCAGUCUGAGUAGGUGUGUCACCUGUUUCUGUUGAGGCCGUAGUGCAGCUUGUUUACAGUUUACUGCUCAUUAGUUCAAGCACUCCAGCAACUUUCCUUUUCUUCCUCCCUCUUUACUUGCUGGUUCAGGUCAGCUGAGCUUCCUGAGCCGGGGACUAGUUGGAAAUCACUGGACUCAGCUGGAAUGUUUGGAGAGAGCCAAGGUUGGCAGCUCUACGUUCUGUGGGGUGUGCCAAAGUCUAUUAGGCGCAUGUUUCUCCUACAAAUAAUGCCCUUCUGACCAGGAGUAGCAGGUCUGAAGUAACAGGGAAGCCUCACACCUGCAGCUGGAUCUAAACAUGCACAUGGGAAGCAGACCCCAGUGUUUCAGUGUGCCAUCACAAACAAAACUUCGGCUUUCUGUCUGCCCGUGUUCCACGCAUGUCAUCUGUGGGCAGAUGACUGCACGACACCAUAAAGGACUGCUGUGACAAUGAGUACUGAGAUUUCUCUACUUUGGUGCCUCCAGACUCCACCUCUUCUCCUUUCAUCCUCUGAGGAGGAACUUAAUAAACUUUUUGUAUGUGUUAACAUGGCAUGCAGUCAUAAAAGCUACUAGCGGUGUACUGAAUAGUAAAGAUGCAUUUAAAUUAAAAAAGAAAAAAAGAAAAAAAGAAAAAGUGUGUAUUGUUGUGGUUCUGGAGCAUUCUUUGUUUUUUGAGAGCAUCACAAGACAGUGGACACCUUGAUAAAAUGCUGUAAAUAAAUGCAGAAGAGGUGCAUGUCUA
This is a non-coding RNA of Meleagris gallopavo (turkey), 2913 nucleotides long. Lineage: Eukaryota; Metazoa; Chordata; Aves; Galliformes; Phasianidae. The record is from RefSeq and is a predicted model, not a curated record.